This 216-nucleotide long non-coding RNA is filed under the name Prunus persica (peach). RNAcentral describes it as "long non-coding RNA (PPER_LNC005996)". The record is from RNAcentral. Lineage: Eukaryota; Viridiplantae; Streptophyta; Magnoliopsida; Rosales; Rosaceae.
UUCAACACAUGCGGGUGUCGAGUACAAAUGACGGAAAUGCCAUUCUAACCAGAAACCAAUUUUCCUUAAGUUUGACUUCUGCCGAAAAUUCGGCAGAGUCCCCUUUGUAAAUUGAUAAUUUUCCAAAAUUUCCACCUGUCAAACAAGCAUAUAUAUAUAUAUAUAAUCCAACUGUUCAAUAUGCAUUACAAUGGACUUCAUGCAACCGAAAACACA